GCCAGUAGCUGCUGGAAACCCAACCCCAGAGGGAGGGGAAGCAAGAAGAGUUCCUCCCUGGGUUACUGAAGGGCUCCUGCGAUUAAACGCAGACACAGUUGUGGACUGAGUGUUGAACCCAGGGCAGUUCUGAACACCAGCAAUUGGACUAACCCACUCUCAUGUUUUGCAGGGUCAGGCUUGUCAGUCACUUACCUACGUGGAGCCCUGGCACCAAUGACAAGCUGUGGAAGCUGCGCUGCCUCCUGCCUCGGUGCCCAAAGCUGAGCUAUAGAGGAGCCAAGAUGUCUGCAGGUCAGAGUCAGAAAGCUGAGACCUGGGACAAAGGCACCUUGCAAGAGCUGAAGGUGCCCUUUGCCAGGACUGAAAUUGGGACCUUUUUCCAAGAACAGCCCAGGAUUGGAAACCAGUACCUAGAAGAUGCUUUCCUUCAGCGUUACUUGAAAACACACCUGCCAUCCCAGGUGCUGGAGAAGGUGAGUCUGGAUCUGGAGAGGUUUGGGGCCCGUGUAACGGCCGAGAUUGACUCUCUGGGGCGUGAGUGCGAGUUGAAUCCUCCUGCACUGCAGCACUAUGAUGCUUGGGGACGGCGUGUGGACCACAUUGUGACUUGCCCAGCCUGGAAGAGGAUGAAGGAGAUUGCAGCAGAGGAGGGGCUGAUCGCUGAGGCCUACGAGAGGAAAUACUCCAUCUGGAGCCGUGUGCAACAGGUUGCCAAGCUGUACCUAUAUGCACCCUCUGCUGGCCUUUUCACCUGCCCGCUGGCCAUGACUGAUGGAGCAGCUAAAGUCAUUGAGUCUCUGGGUAUUUCUGGGCCCCUAGCAAAAGCUUUUGGCCACCUGACCUCACGCGACCCCAAGAAGUUCUGGACCUCUGGCCAGUGGAUGACAGAACGCAAAGGAGGCUCUGAUGUCGCUAGCGGCACAGAGUCAGUGGCCAGAGAGCAGCCAGAUGGCACAUAUUGCCUCUACGGCUUUAAAUGGUUUACUUCAGCCACUGAUUCAGACAUGGCGCUGACCCUAGCAAGGAUCAUGGAGGCUCAGGGACGUGUAGAACAGGGCUCCAAAGGCCUGUCCCUGUUCUUCCUGGAGGUGCGAGAUAAGGAGGGGAAGCUGAAUGGCAUUGAGGUGCAAAGGCUAAAGGAGAAGCUGGGGACGAGGCAGGUGCCGACAGCUGAGCUGCUGCUGGAUGGAUCCAAGGCACACCGGAUCUCUGCAGAGGGUCGGGGUGUGGCCUCCAUUGCCAACAUGUUGACCAUAACUAGGAUCCACAAUGUCAUCUUUGCAGUGGCUGCCAUGAGGAGGGUGAUUAACCUGGCCAGAGAGUAUGCCGGCAAGCGGGUCGUCUUUGGGAAGCUCAUCAAGGACCAUCCCUUACACAUGCAAACCAUGGCCCGGCUGGAGGUGGAAACUCGAGGGGCCUUUCUCAUGCUCAUGGAGAUAGCCAGGCUGCUGGGAUUAGAGGAGACCAAGAUGGCCAGUGAGCAGGACCUGCAUCUUCUCAGGCUGCUGACGCCAGUUGCUAAGCUCUACACUGGGAAACAGGCGAUUGCUGUUAUUUCUGAGGGACUGGAGUGUUUUGGAGGGCAGGGCUACAUGGAGGACACAGGCUUGCCAGGCGCACUGCGAGAUGCCCAGGUGCUGACCAUCUGGGAGGGAACAACAAAUAUCCUCUCACUUGACGUGCUGCGCUCUCUCGCCAAAAGCCAAGGCCAGGUGCUAGCUGCAUUCUGCUCUGGAGUGCAGGUGUGUUCACUCACAGCAACAUUGAUCAUCCAGACGUUCACCUCCCUGGACCUGGCCUCUUGCUCCUACUGCAAGACCUGCUGGGAACACCACUGGCUUUACAGUGCUGAGCUGAUUGCAUCCAACCAGGCAUCUCCCCCACUCUCACUCAGUGCUGAGGCUGCUGCUGCCUGGCAUCCCAUGUUCCUUCCUUAUGGCUGUGAUUUGGGAAGGGGAAGGCCCCAGAGGGAUUUGACAGCUCUCCAGCUAUGGCUCUUGGUUUCAGGAACCAUGCACUACCUCAUCCAGUCCAUCCUUGAGGUUUGACUUACUGAACCAAUUCUCCUGUCCACACUCCGCAUGCCUGUCCCAACAAACAAUGUGAAAAAUGCCCCAGACUUUCUCUGGAGUGCACUGAAGCCCUUAAAAAGCCCACCCAGCUUUGCAUUUCAUUUAACACGAUUCCAGUAGGUUGGAGUGACACCCAGCAAAGCUUGGCUAACUGGCUGUCUCAUUGCAUCUCCCCAUGCUGCAGCCAGCUGGGCCUGUCGAGGCUCAUUCCACUUGGGGCUUCCAAGCUCAGAUCUGUCUAGUCAGGAGACAGCAGGUCUCUGCAUCCAGGUACCAAGCACUAUUGCUUAGACUAGGCUUCUAGACCAGAAUCCUGGUUUGACAUAGGGGUGUAACACAACCUGCUUCUGAGCUGCUGGUGCCCCAACUCUCCUGGCCUCUAGAAAUUGGAUUUAUUUUGUGUUUUUUAUUACCCACUCACAGCCACAGCCCUGGCAUCAGAGUGUGGGGCUGCUGGGAUCUUCACCUUUCGUGCCACCUGUGGACUACCACUGUGGCCUGUUUCUGUUUUCAUCUUCCAUGGCCUAGCCCUCCAGCCAGGUCACCUCCUAGGUAAUGAAAGUCCAAUUGAAAAUUCAAAUAAACAUCCAAACAAAGAUUCUUCUGCCCCUCCUGGGCUCUGUGCACUGCCUCCCCUCCCACUGUGCUUUUCCCCUGCGAGUGCUGCUUCUCAGCAGGGUUCCGCACUGCCUCCCCCCUCCCCCCCGGGGACACCGGGAACUUCUCCUAGGGACCUCCCUGCUACUUCCAGACAUCACUUCAGCCUGCCUUCACCAGGGUCUUCGCAGGGAGAGGGAGCUCCUUCCUCUGUAGUCCACUCUACAGCAGUGGGGGUCACUAGUUGUAAUUAAGUCCCCAGAUCAGAAUCAGCUGGGCGAUAACUGCUACCUCACAGGCAAGGCUGAAGCCAUCUGUUAAAGGGCCAGCCAGCAUAUGACACCCACCUUUUGGGGAGAGAGUUUAGCCCUCCGUAAAAGUAAUGGAUUGUUACCAUUCUAGGCAUGAGUCUUGUUUCCCACCGUUAUUGCCUCUUUUGCUACCUGGUACCAUUUGGUUUAGCUCCUGUCUACAGGAGUUGGAAUCUACUGUGAGGGGCAUCUCUAGAGGAAGGAACAUUGCUGGGAAUGUUUGUUCUCUGAGGGGGAUUCCCAUCCAGCCUCCUCCCCACAGAGCUAAGGGUCUGCUAUUUCUGCCUUUGACUUGUGUUAACUGGCUCUUGUUGGGAGUACGUUCUCCUCCUGCUUGGACAGCAAGUAAGUAUGGGAUACUGAAGGGUGCCACUAAGGGAGUUCCCACCUGGUCUCAUGCUGGAAGCCUGGUUCCAAGAGCAGUGAGCCACUGAAGUAUAUCUCCAGAGAACAUGAAUGACAGGGGAAGCUGGCGCUGGCUUCCAGCAUUUCAGAACUGGAAUCUUCUGUGCAGCUACUCCAGGAUGCUCU
RNA transcript from Mauremys reevesii (Reeves's turtle), 3514 nucleotides. It is a transcript of the gene named acyl-CoA dehydrogenase family member 11-like, with no coding region annotated. NCBI's taxonomy places the organism in Eukaryota, Metazoa, Chordata, Testudines, Geoemydidae. The record is from RefSeq and is a predicted model, not a curated record. The transcript is spliced from 12 exons.